RNAcentral lists this ribosomal RNA (253 nucleotides) under uncultured bacterium. RNAcentral's name for it is "partial 16S ribosomal RNA". It matches the Rfam family "Bacterial small subunit ribosomal RNA", at positions 524 to 776 of the family's 1533-position model. The record is from RNAcentral.
UACAGAGACUGUAAGCGUUAUUCGGAUUCACUGGGCGUAAAGGGUGCGCAGGCGGUUGUGUGUGUCAGGUGUGAAAGCCCGGGGCUUAACCCCGGAAUUGCGCCUGAAACUACAUGACUAGAGCAUUGGAGAGGGUAGCGGAAUUCACGGUGUAGCAGUGAAAUGCGUAGAUAUCGUGAGGAACACCAGAGGCGAAGGCGGCUACCUGGACAAUUGCUGACGCUCAGGCGCGAAAGCGUGGGGAGCAAAAGGG